RNAcentral lists this ribosomal RNA (434 nucleotides) under uncultured bacterium. Its description in RNAcentral is "bacterial SSU rRNA". It matches the Rfam family "Bacterial small subunit ribosomal RNA", at positions 355 to 787 of the family's 1533-position model. The record is from RNAcentral.
UGAGGAAUAUUGGUCAAUGGGCGGGAGCCUGAACCAGCCAAGCCGCGUGAGGGAAGAAGGCCCUAUGGGUCGUAAACCUCUUUUGUCAGGGAACAAAAGCGAGUAUGUAUACUAGUCUGAGUGUACCUGAAGAAAAAGCAUCGGCUAACUCCGUGCCAGCAGCCGCGGUAAUACGGAGGAUGCGAGCGUUAUCCGGAUUUAUUGGGUUUAAAGGGUGCGUAGGCGGCGAUGCAAGUCAGCGGUAAAGGCCCGGGGCUCAACCCCGGCGAGCCGUUGAAACUGCAGUGCUAGAGAAGGCGAGAGGUACGCGGAAUGCGCAGUGUAGCGGUGAAAUGCUUAGAUAUUGCGCAGAACCCCGAUUGCGAAGGCAGCGUACUGGCGCCUGACUGACGCUGAGGCACGAAAGCGUGGGGAUCGAACAGGAUUAGAUACCC